Molecule: ribosomal RNA, 837 nt
Filed under: uncultured bacterium
Lineage: Bacteria
Description: bacterial SSU rRNA
Rfam family: Bacterial small subunit ribosomal RNA
Source: RNAcentral
GAACGGGUGAGUAACACGUGGGUGAUCUGCCCUGCACUUUGGGAUAAGCCUGGGAAACUGGGUCUAAUACCGAAUAGGACCACGCGCUUCAUGGUGUGUGGUGGAAAGCUUUUGCGGUGUGGGAUGGGCCCGCGGCCUAUCAGCUUGUUGGUGGGGUAAUGGCCUACCAAGGCGACGACGGGUAGCCGGCCUGAGAGGGUGACCGGCCACACUGGGACUGAGAUACGGCCCAGACUCCUACGGGAGGCAGCAGUGGGGAAUAUUGCACAAUGGGCGCAAGCCUGAUGCAGCGACGCCGCGUGAGGGAUGACGGCCUUCGGGUUGUAAACCUCUUUCAAUAGGGACGAAGCGCAAGUGACGGUACCUAUAGAAGAAGCACCGGCCAACUACGUGCCAGCAGCCGCGGUAAUACGUAGGGUGCGAGCGUUGUCCGGAAUUACUGGGCGUAAAGAGCUCGUAGGUGGUUUGUCGCGUUGUUCGUGAAAACUCACAGCUUAACUGUGGGCGUGCGGGCGAUACGGGCAGACUAGAGUACUGCAGGGGAGACUGGAAUUCCUGGUGUAGCGGUGGAAUGCGCAGAUAUCAGGAGGAACACCGGUGGCGAAGGCGGGUCUCUGGGCAGUAACUGACGCUGAGGAGCGAAAGCGUGGGGAGCGAACAGGAUUAGAUACCCUGGUAGUCCACGCCGUANACGGUGGGUACUAGGUGUGGGUUCCUUCCUUGGGAUCCGUGCCGUAGCUAACGCAUUAAGUACCCCGCCUGGNGAGUACGGCCGCAAGGCUAAAACUCAAAGGAAUUGACGGGGGCNNNCACAAGCGGCGGAGCAUGUGGAUUAAU